This is a small nucleolar RNA of Cavia porcellus (domestic guinea pig), 137 nucleotides long. The record is from Ensembl. NCBI's taxonomy places the organism in Eukaryota, Metazoa, Chordata, Mammalia, Rodentia, Caviidae.
CUGGCCCUGAAUCAAGGUCGGCAGCUUCCUAAUCCUGCUGGUUUCAAGCAGGAGAUGAAAGAUUUGUCUUUCUAUGGUCUGUUGGCCAUUUCAGAACUUGGGCAGUGAAAUGGUCAAUUCAUUAGAAAGAAACAGCU